UGGGGAAUAUUGCGCAAUGGGCGAAAGCCUGACGCAGCGACGCCGCGUGAGGGAUGAAGGUUUUCGGACCGUAAACCUCUGUCAGAAGGGAAGAAACCGCACUGUGCUAAUCAGCAGUGCCUUGACGGUACCUUCAAAGGAAGCACCGGCUAACUCCGUGCCAGCAGCCGCGGUAAUACGGAGGGUGCAAGCGUUAAUCGGAAUUACUGGGCGUAAAGCGCACGUAGGCUGCUUUGUAAGUCAGGGGUGAAAUCCCACGGCUCAACCGUGGAACUGCCUUUGAUACUGCUUAGCUUGAAUCCGGGAGAGGGUGGCGGAAUUCCAGGUGUAGGAGUGAAAUCCGUAGAUAUCUGGAGGAACAUCAGUGGCGAAGGCGGCCACCUGGACCGGUAUUGACGCUGAGGUGCGAAAGCGUGGGGAGCAAACAGG
This 429-nucleotide ribosomal RNA is filed under the name Fusobacteriota bacterium. RNAcentral describes it as "Fusobacteria bacterium partial 16S ribosomal RNA". It matches the Rfam family "Bacterial small subunit ribosomal RNA", at positions 355 to 776 of the family's 1533-position model. Lineage: Bacteria; Fusobacteriati; Fusobacteriota. The record is from RNAcentral.